This 211-nucleotide unclassified non-coding RNA is filed under the name Hevea brasiliensis (rubber tree). Lineage: Eukaryota; Viridiplantae; Streptophyta; Magnoliopsida; Malpighiales; Euphorbiaceae. The record is from RNAcentral.
UUUCGGUUCUAUGAACUCUAUAAUUUGUUUGACAACAAUUGUUUCAUUCUUUUCAUAUAGGAACCUCGGAUCAUUUGAACUGUUCUUAUCUGAUUAACAUGUCUCUUGGUAUGUCUACGUAGAAAACAACCGAAGUUGUCUAAGAGUGUUGGUACAAAAGAAAAUGUUCUCCUCCAUCCUAAAUUUGACUAUAUUGCUAAACAAGAUCAAG